Long non-coding RNA from Thamnophis elegans (Western terrestrial garter snake), 734 nucleotides. RefSeq lists it as uncharacterized. The transcript has 2 exons. The record is from RefSeq and is a predicted model, not a curated record. NCBI's taxonomy places the organism in Eukaryota, Metazoa, Chordata, Lepidosauria, Squamata, Natricidae.
ACCACGAAGUUAGGAAGCAGCGGAAGCGGGGAGCAAGUUCUUUGCCUCGCUCGGUGUUGCCUCAGGGUGUCUUUCCUGCGGCCUCUAAAAGGGCCGUUGGACGCUGAGAUGAUGAGUAAUGAUUACAAGGCGCAGCGGGCCGUCGUGUGGUCGCGUCGGUUCUCUCUGCUGUACGCGAUGGGAGUGUGGACGAUUAUUGGGUAUUUCGUUUCCCGGUCAGUGCGUUUCAGGGAGAUACCACUGGAGGAGAAGAAGAAAGGCGAGCAGUCGCCGCCGCCGUCGCCUCUCGAUCACAACGAAUAUUCCAGAAGUGUUUGACGGGAGCAGAAAAUCAAGACUGAAACUGAAUUCACAUUAACAGCAAAAACUACUUCAUCUGAUUUUGUGCCACAUUCUUCUCAUUUGCAUAAUAGAAUGCUUUCACUUUUUUGUUACAAUACUGGGAAAGAAAAGUAAAUUAUAUUAUAUUGAAAAAAAGCAAAGUAUCACAGUGUCUAUAACUUGUAUUAAAGAGUUGCAUGAGAUCUGAUUUUGAAACAACAGUAAUUGGAAAGUACUGUGUUCUGUCUGCCUAUCAUGAAACUGUAACCCUGCUUCAUCUUCAUGCAUUGGAAUAUAUUGAAUAUAAUUUUAUAUAUUUUCUUUUGUUUAUAAUUUAUUUUAAUACCUUUUCCUGAAAUUCUGCUAGCAUGUGUUUGAAAUCCUAAAGAAGAGUAAAUGUGAUUGAUUCCUUA